RNAcentral lists this ribosomal RNA (275 nucleotides) under uncultured Flavobacteriaceae bacterium. Its description in RNAcentral is "partial 16S ribosomal RNA". It matches the Rfam family "Bacterial small subunit ribosomal RNA", at positions 1 to 280 of the family's 1533-position model. Lineage: Bacteria; Pseudomonadati; Bacteroidota; Flavobacteriia; Flavobacteriales; Flavobacteriaceae. The record is from RNAcentral.
CUCGGAGUUUGAUCCUGGCUCAGGAUGAACGCUAGCGGUAGGCCUAACACAUGCAAGUCGAGGGGGUAGAGGAAGCUUGCUUCCUUGAGACCGGCGCACGGGUGCGUAACGCGUAUGCAAUCUACCUUAUACAGGGGAAUAGCCCAGAGAAAUUUGGAUUAAUGCCCCAUAGUGUUAUUGAAUCGCAUGGUUUAAUAACUAAAGUUCCAACGGUAUAAGAUGAGCAUGCGUCCCAUUAGUUAGUUGGUAAGGUAACGGCUUACCAAGACAAUGAU